AUUGAACGCUGGCGGCAGGCCUAACACAUGCAAGUCGAACGGUAACAGGAAGCAGCUUGCUGCUUCGCUGACGAGUGGCGGACGGGUGAGUAAUGUCUGGGAAGCUGCCUGAUGGAGGGGGAUAACUACUGGAAACGGUAGCUAAUACCGCAUAAUGUCGCAAGACCAAAGAGGGGGACCUUCGGGCCUCUUGCCAUCGGAUGUGCCCAGAUUGGAUUAGCUUGUUGGUGGGGUAACGGCUCACCAAGGCGACGAUCCCUAGCUGGUCUGAGAGGAUGACCAGCCACACUGGAACUGAGACACGGUCCAGACUCCUACGGGAGGCAGCAGUGGGGAAUAUUGCACAAUGGGCGCAAGCCUGAUGCAGCCAUGCCGCGUGUAUGAAGAAGGCCUUCGGGUUGUAAAGUACUUUCAGCGGGGAGGAAGGGAGUAAAGUUAAUACCUUUGCUCAUUGACGUUACCCGCAGAAGAAGCACCGGCUAACUCCGUG
RNAcentral lists this ribosomal RNA (490 nucleotides) under uncultured bacterium. RNAcentral describes it as "partial 16S ribosomal RNA". It matches the Rfam family "Bacterial small subunit ribosomal RNA", at positions 30 to 507 of the family's 1533-position model. The record is from RNAcentral.